AGCUCCAAUAGCGUAUAUUAAAGUUGCUGCAGUUAAAAAGCUCGUAGUUGCAUUUCCGAGGCAAGGGAUUAGUCCGACCUUUGGUGGGUAUUUAAUCCUCUUGCCUCGUCCUUGAGUGGUGCUUCUUGGUAUUAAGUUAUCGAGGAGAUAGCCGCUCAUCGUUUACUGUGAGAAAAUUAGAGUGUUCAAAGCAGGCUUAUGCCGUUGAAUAUAUUAGCAUGGAAUAAUAAGAUAGGACCUCGGUACUAUUUGGUUGGUUCGAGAACCAAGGUAAUGAUGAAUAGGGACAGUUGGGGGUAUUCGUAUUCAGUUGUCAGAGGUGAAAUUCUUAGAUUUACGGAAGACGAACUACUGCGAAAGCAUUUACCAAGGAUGUUUUCA
This 381-nucleotide ribosomal RNA is filed under the name uncultured marine Chaetocerotaceae. RNAcentral's name for it is "SSU rRNA". It matches the Rfam family "Eukaryotic small subunit ribosomal RNA", at positions 587 to 972 of the family's 1831-position model. The record is from RNAcentral. Lineage: Eukaryota; Bacillariophyta; Thalassiosirophyceae; Chaetocerotales; Chaetocerotaceae.